This 978-nucleotide ribosomal RNA is filed under the name Triticum aestivum (bread wheat). RNAcentral describes it as "partial small subunit ribosomal RNA". Lineage: Eukaryota; Viridiplantae; Streptophyta; Magnoliopsida; Poales; Poaceae. The record is from RNAcentral.
AUGUUUGCAGCCCAAUCCAGAUCGAAAAUAAACAUCUGCUGCACCGCCCUCACCAACGCCUAGAAGGGAUCCCAAUCUGCUGCUGCCUUCUUCGGUCACAUGAGAUCGCUGUCAGAUGAACUUGCUAUGGCAGGAAAACCCCUCCUAGAGGAAGAACUAAUCUCCUUCAUAGUUGCUGGCCUUGACAUGGAUUAUCAACCACUUAACUCAGCCCUAGAUGUCCGCACCGAACCACUAUCUGUUAAUGAUCUCUUCGGCAUGGUGGCGAACUUUGAUCAGCGCAUGGAGCUUUUCCAGGGCACAAGCGCCGGGGCUUUCAAGUCCUCGGCCAACAGUGCCUCACGGGGACGCGGCGGCGCUCCCAAGGACGGCUACCGUAACUCACCCAAGGGUGGAAACGGCAGCGGCAACAACAACUACAACAACGGUGGCGGCGGCUACCGCGGCAACAGCAGCGGAGGUGGUGAUGGCGGCUACAACCAGGGCGGCGGUGGUGGCUACCGCGGCUCUGGUGGUGGCUACAAUGGCGGCUACAAUGGCGGCGGUGGCGGGGGCUACUACAACAACAAUGGGCCCCCACGCCAUAACUACAACAACAAUCAAGGUCGUCAAGGCGGCCGUUUCACCGGGUAUGAAGAAUAUGAAAACAAGUGUCAGAUUUGCAAAAAAACUAACCACAUUGCAAAGGAGUGUAAGUGGCGCUAUGCAGACGACAACUCUCAGAGGAGACGAGUUGCAGCUGCAGCAGAUGCCUCAUAUGGAACAGAUUCCAACUGGUAUCUUGACUCCGGUGCAAAUGAGAACAUCACCUCCGAGAUAGAGAAAAUGACCAUGCAUGAGAAAUACCAUGGCCAAGAGCAAGUCCACACUGCAGAAAAUGGUCCAGGUAUGAUGAUAAGUCAUGUUGGCAAGUCUAUUAUUAAAACCCCACAUCGUGAUAUUCUUGUAGAUGAAGUCCUACACAUUCCCAAUGCAUAA